RNA transcript from Nicotiana attenuata, 1440 nucleotides. It is a transcript of the gene named acyl-coenzyme A thioesterase 13-like, with no coding region annotated. The transcript has 5 exons. The record is from RefSeq and is a predicted model, not a curated record. NCBI's taxonomy places the organism in Eukaryota, Viridiplantae, Streptophyta, Magnoliopsida, Solanales, Solanaceae.
GUUCCGAUCGAAGGGUCAACUCAUCUAAAAUUGUAUUCCGUUUACUUCACGUUAAACCCACUUGCCCUAAGAUCCAGCUUUGCAUUUACCUAGAUCGGUUUCUCUUCUUGAAAUUACAACAUUUUAUAUAUAUCAUCAUCAUCUUCUCCAGUUUUUACGUAAAGAGCCUUUCUCAUCAUCAAUUCAUUGCAUAAAGAACCAGCUGGAACAUACACACUUGUAGAAUUGAGGGGAAAACAAAAAUUCUACAAUAUAAUAGAGCAAGUAAGAGCGAGGAAGCAAAUGGAGAAAGCAAAAGUUUAUCUUGAACUAACCCAAGAAGAAACAGACCGGGUUUCAUCACUUGCCUUUCCUCCUCACCGAGUAGGCACCGAGUUUAGCUUCUAUAACUGUUAUGCGGUCAGAGGAAUCCGAGUUGACCGCGUUGAACCCGGUCUACUCUUUUGCACCUUCAAAGUUCCUCCUCGCCUCGCUGAUAGAGAAGGGAAAUUAGCACCUGGCGCCAUAGCCGGUCUUGUUGACGAUGUUGGGGCUGCAGCAGUCUUUUUGGAGGGUCUCCCAAUGAAUGUAUCAGUGGACAUGUCUAUUUCAUUUCUUUCAAGUGCCAACAUCCAUGAUGAGCUGGAGAUCAUUGGUCAAGUCUUAGGUCAGAAAGGAGGUUAUUCUGGGACAAGUGUACUUGUGAAAAAUAAAGCUACUGGGGAGCUCAUUGCUGAGGGGCGGCAUUCAUUAUCUGGGGUUCAAAUGAACCCGCGAAGGACUGCCGCCGCCACCGGUUACAGAUGUCAAAAGGAAGACGGUGAAACUCAUUAACUUCUAUAUAUCAAGACCUAUAACAACAACAUCACACACAAUUAUAGCUCAAAGACGACGAAUGCGCAGUAAACCAAAUUUCGACAGAGACCAAUCUGUAUAGUUCGGAUUGUUUUCUUGACUUGUGCAGGGUAAUUAUUGGGAAAAUCAACGGAAAGAACCCAUCCAACCCGAGAAGAAUGAGAAGAAGAAAAGGGCAGAUGAAAGGAAACUUACCGUGAAGAGAUUAUGGCGUAGGAUUGGAAUUCGUCUCUCUGUUCUCUCUCUAUUUCGCGAAGGCUCUCGAAAUCAAUGAAGUCUCAGCGAAGGUGGGGAGAAUAUUUAUAUACGUGGAGUGGGAGAAGUUUCUAGAGGAACGGACACGAAAUCUUUUUUAAUUGGAAUUUAAUUCGUCCCAUUCUGUGGUGUCAGUUUCUCUUGGCCAAACCAGUAAGGGCAAAAGAAUAAAGAGACAUUUUGCUUCUUUUUUUAUUCCUUUGUAUUUCAAUUUCCAUUUUUUCUUUUUUGUAAAUUAGUGUGAGGUGUAACUUGUAAGUAAGAACAAGCUUUUUCCGGUGCUUGAUGUUGCUUGGAGUUUUUCCAGCAUCCUCUUAGUUAGAAAAGCAUUGAGGUUUUUAACUUUUUUCA